This 665-nucleotide ribosomal RNA is filed under the name fungal sp. Its description in RNAcentral is "eukaryotic LSU rRNA". The stretch from base 171 to 324 matches the Rfam family "5.8S ribosomal RNA". Lineage: Eukaryota; Fungi. The record is from RNAcentral.
UUACCGAGUUAUUCAACUCCCAAACCCCCUGUGAACCUUACCACACACGUUGCCUCGGCGGGACCGCCCCGGCGCCCUCGCGGCCCGGACCAAGGCGCCCGCCGGAGGACCACCAGACUCUCCUGUCGCAGUGGCAUUUCUCUCCGAGUCAAACAAGCAAAAUGAAUCAAAACUUUCAACAACGGAUCUCUUGGUUCUGGCAUCGAUGAAGAACGCAGCGAAAUGCGAUAAGUAAUGUGAAUUGCAGAAUUCAGUGAAUCAUCGAAUCUUUGAACGCACAUUGCGCCCGCCAGUACUCUGGCGGGCAUGCCUGUCCGAGCGUCAUUUCAACCCUCGAGCCCGUCUCGGUGUUGGGGGCCCCACGGCCGCGAGGCCGCCCCCGAAAUGCAUUGGCGACCCCGCCGCGGCCUCCCCUGCGCAGUAGCUCCCAGAGAACCUCGCACCGGAAACGCGGAGGCGGUCACGCCGUAAAACAACUCUCCUCCUGGAAGUUGACCUCGGAUCAGGUAGGGAUACCCGCUGAACUUAAGCAUAUCAAUAAGCGGAGGAAAAGAAACCAACAGGGAUUGCCCCAGUAACGGCGAGUGAAGCGGCAACAGCUCAAAUUUGAAAUCUGGCCCCCCCCCGCGGGGCCCGAGUUGUAAUUUGCAGAGGAUGCUUUUGGC